This is a non-coding RNA of Triticum urartu, 115 nucleotides long. Lineage: Eukaryota; Viridiplantae; Streptophyta; Magnoliopsida; Poales; Poaceae. The record is from Rfam.
AUAUUACUCCCUCCGUUCCGAAUUACUUGUCUCAGGUAUGGAUGUAUCUAGAUGUAUUUUAGUUCUAGAUACAUCCAUUUCUGCGAUAAGUAAUUUGGAACGGAGAGAGUAUUAG